Molecule: long non-coding RNA, 673 nt
Organism: Harmonia axyridis
Lineage: Eukaryota; Metazoa; Arthropoda; Insecta; Coleoptera; Coccinellidae
Exons: 3
Source: RefSeq, a predicted model, not a curated record
ACAAUAAAAAUAAAAACCCAAAGCUCGCGUUUUUUACAUUACCGAAAGACAUGAAAAUGUAAGUUUAAGUAGUCAAUUCAAUAUAACAAAAUCAUCUAAUUUCUAUUAUUAUUCAGUGCCAAAAGUUGGAUCGAAUUCUCUGGACGCAAAGAUCUUGACCUGGGUGCUUCGAAAGACUAUAGAAUGUGUAGUGAGCAUUUUACAGAAAACCAGUUCAAAUGUAUAUAUCCACGGACAUUGUUUUGGCAUGGAAGUAUUCCUCAUGUAAAUGGACCUAAAUCAGAUGUUCUUCCUGAAUCAGAGUCUAAGAUGAUCAUCCAUGAAGAAACUGUUCAAACGGAUCAAAACGUACCUCUAUCUAAUAUUGAAAGAUUCUGCGUUUGCUGUGAACAAAUAUUAUCAUUUGAUAAUUUUUGAAAAGGGGACACAUGAAUGCAAAUCAUAUUUAUGUUACAAUGGAAUAAGAAGGUUUUAUAGAAGCAAGUAGCAGUUCGGCCACCCCCAAACGUAGUGGUAGUAAGCUGAGCCCCUUAACCAACCAGAGAAUUGAAAGAAUGAAGGCUAAAAUCAAUUCUUUCCUCAAGAUGUUUAUGACUACACGUUGUCUUUGGGGUGUUCGGUUCGAAAAUCAAAAUAAAAUAAAAAAAGUGAAUACAAAAAAUCAAAAACUCAG